This 477-nucleotide ribosomal RNA is filed under the name uncultured bacterium. RNAcentral's name for it is "bacterial SSU rRNA". It matches the Rfam family "Bacterial small subunit ribosomal RNA", at positions 328 to 793 of the family's 1533-position model. The record is from RNAcentral.
UCAGUCGACUCCUACGGGGAGGCAGCAGUGGGGGAAUAUUGCACAAUGGGCGCAAGCCUGAUGCAGCCAUGCCGCGUGUAUGAAGAAGGACCUUCGGGUUGUAAAGUACUUUCAGCAGUGAGGAAGGUGGAGUCGUUAAUAGCGGCCUCAUUUGACGUUAGCUGCAGAAGAAGCACCGGCUAACUCCGUGCCAGCAGCCGCGGUAAUACGGAGGGUGCGAGCGUUAAUCGGAAUUACUGGGCGUAAAGCGCAUGCAGGUGGUUUGUUAAGUCAGAUGUGAAAGCCCGGGGCUCAACCUCGGAAUUGCAUUUGAAACUGGCAGACUAGAGUACUGUAGAGGGGGGUAGGAAUUUCAGGUGUAGCGGUGAAAUGCGUAGAGAUCUGAAGGAAUACCGGUGGCGAAGGCGGCCCCCUGGACAGAUACUGACACUCAGAUGCGAAAGCGUGGGGAGCAAACAGGAUUAGAUACCCUGGUAG